UACGUAGGGAGCAAGCGUUGUCCGGAAUCAUUGGGCGUAAAGCGCGCGUAGGUGGCUUAGUAAGUCCGUUGUGAAAGUCAAAGGCUCAACCUUUGAAAGCCGAUGGAUACUGUGAAGCUAGAGUACGGAAGAGGCGAGUGGAAUUCCUGGUGUAGCGGUGGAAUGCGCAGAUAUCAGGAGGAACACCAAUAGCGAAGGCAGCUCGCUGGGACGUUACUGACACUGAGGCGCGAAAGCGUGGGGAGCGAACAGG
This 253-nucleotide ribosomal RNA is filed under the name uncultured bacterium. Its description in RNAcentral is "partial 16S ribosomal RNA". It matches the Rfam family "Bacterial small subunit ribosomal RNA", at positions 524 to 776 of the family's 1533-position model. The record is from RNAcentral.